Molecule: long non-coding RNA, 426 nt
Organism: Microcebus murinus (gray mouse lemur)
Lineage: Eukaryota; Metazoa; Chordata; Mammalia; Primates; Cheirogaleidae
Source: RefSeq, a predicted model, not a curated record
GCAAGAGGACGGUGACGUCACCAAAUAAACGUCAAGUCUUGCGUGGGAGCAUCUGCAGAAGAGCAUUUUGAUUUGCAAGUUGAUGGUUACUAUUUAAGGACUUAAUUUUUCAGUCCUGGAGAGUUGGGUGGAACAUGAGGACACAGGAAUUAGGUGACAGAUGGACACUUUUCCCUGCUAUUCUGAUUUUUGUGAAUCAGAACUAGAUUCUGUCAAAUGCGAAGGGGUAUGUGUGUGUUUUGAGCCUUGGCACCCGCCCGACAGAAGAUUCUGCUAAAGGAAAAUCAUCAUGACCUUCACCUGGGUUCUAGUUCAGUCCAUAACCCAGAGGCAAAGGGGAAAAAGCAGCUUCAAAUAUUUUAUUGGAAAAUGAAAUUGAUUCUUUAUUGGAUUCCCUCCAAAUGAAACUGAAGUGAUGAAUAAUGU